RNAcentral lists this ribosomal RNA (253 nucleotides) under uncultured bacterium. RNAcentral describes it as "partial 16S ribosomal RNA". It matches the Rfam family "Bacterial small subunit ribosomal RNA", at positions 524 to 776 of the family's 1533-position model. The record is from RNAcentral.
UACAGAGGGUGCAAGCGUUAAUCGGAAUUACUGGGCGUAAAGGGCGCGUAGGUGGAUGUUUAAGUGAGAUGUGAAAUCCCCGGGCUUAACCUGGGAACUGCAUCUUAUACUGGGCAUCUGGAGUGUGGUAGAGGGUAGUGGAAUUUCCGGUGUAGCGGUGAAAUGCGUAGAUAUCGGAAGGAACACCAGUGGCGAAGGCGGCUACCUGGACUAACACUGACACUGAGGCGCGAGAGCGUGGGGAGCAAACAGG